RNAcentral lists this ribosomal RNA (420 nucleotides) under Fusobacteriota bacterium. RNAcentral's name for it is "Fusobacteria bacterium partial 16S ribosomal RNA". It matches the Rfam family "Bacterial small subunit ribosomal RNA", at positions 355 to 776 of the family's 1533-position model. The record is from RNAcentral. Lineage: Bacteria; Fusobacteriati; Fusobacteriota.
UGGGGGAUAUUGCACAAUGGGCGAAAGCCUGAUGCAGCGACGCCGCGUGGGGGAUGAAGGCCUUCGGGUUGUAAACUUCUUUUGCUCUGAACAAGGCAUGCCUUUGGGGUGUGUUGAGUGUAGGGGUUGAUUAGCGCCGGCUAACUACGUGCCAGCAGCCGCGGUAAUACGUAGGGCGCGAGCGUUGUCCGGAAUUAUUGGGCGUAAAGGGCUUGUAGGUGGCUGGUUGCGUCUGUCGUGAAAGCUCAUGGCUUAACUGUGGGUUUGCGGUGGGUACGGGCUGGCUUGAGUGCAGUAGGGGAGGCUGGAAUUCCUGGUGUAGCGGUGGAAUGCGCAGAUAUCAGGAGGAAUACCGGUGGCGAAGGCGGGUCUCUGGGCUGUUACUGACGCUGAGGGGCGAAAGCGUGGGGAGCGAACAGG